CACAGAAGGGCCACAUAUGUGCACACAUUCCUGGAUAUUUUUAGGUUUUUUUUAUAGGCUCCAAAGUUCUAACUGCUUUUUCACUCUGUGCUUUGUGGCCGCUGCUGGGAGAUGUUCCUGCCAAAGCUGCCAAGGGUCUGAUGGAAGGGGGCCUGGCCCGGGAAGGCUCCCCGAAGUUGCUCUGAGCGAUCCUGGAUGCUGCAUGGCUUCAGUCCCUGAGGCCUCUCUGGCCACUAAGAGGAAACAAACCACUGCCAGUGGCUCAGAUGGUAAAUAAUCUGCCUGCAACGCAGGAGACCUGGGUUCGAUCCCUAUGUUGGGAAGAUCCCCCGGAGAAGGGAGUGGCUACCCACUCUAGUAUUCUUGCCUGAAGAAUUCCAUGGAUAGAGGAGCCUGGCAGGCUACAGUCCAUAGCAUCGCAAAGCGUCAGACACGACUGAGCGAUGAAUUUCCAUCAUCAUAACAACCGACUCCUCAAAACCUUCAGUGGUUUCCCAUUGGCCAGAUGGUACCAGUUCUCCAGACUGACUUUCAAGGCUGUCCACAGUCCAGGCCCUCAUAUCCAAAUGCUUUUGCCAAAGAAACGACCUUCUCUGUCUGGGUUAUUCAUAACAGGAGCACAUUCUGCUCAUGGUCAGCUUCACACCUUGGUCUGUCUCAUCCUGG
Bos taurus (domestic cattle) is the source of this 666-nucleotide long non-coding RNA. NCBI's taxonomy places the organism in Eukaryota, Metazoa, Chordata, Mammalia, Artiodactyla, Bovidae. The record is from Ensembl.